UUUCUUCAAGCAAAUACAUUUAAGGAGAUUUGAUGCUUUAAAAAAAAAAAAUCACAUGAAGGUAAACGGAAUAACUUUGGAUAAUCGGAUUCUGAAUAUGUCACCUCAGGCUGUGGGAAAUUUAAAUGGACCCUUUUCACUACCCACUUUCUUCCUAUGUACAAAAACAAAUCGAUUGAGAGCAAUUGUUGUGGUAUAACAUUACCACUACAACCAAUAUUCAUAGGAUAUUAUUUUUUUUUUAAAGUGACGAAUAGGAACGACUAUUAUUCCGUCGAUCGGUUAAUCGGUAAAUAAGCCGAUCGCUGCAGCUCUUCACACCAAGACAUGAAGUCGCCUGUACGGUCCAGUUGUGGCCGCAUCGUUCACGUCAGGCUCCCCAUCAACUCAACCUGUGGCCGGACGGUGACCGAGGGGUCGUCGAAUGCUCCGAAGACCUCUCUCCAGCAAAUAACCAAGCCGAGGAACUGUUCGCUGUGAAGGGAGCACUAUUUGGCAGGAAGCGUUGCCCGAAUGGGGCCUACUGCGCGUGCGCGACAUGUCCCAUUCUACCCUGGCCGAGUCGUUUGUGUGGCGCGACAGGUGUGGCGGCCACAGGUGAGGAGAGGAGAGGAGAACACCGCAAACAUUUGUUAUUUGAACAGAUGAACCCGCUUGUUGAAUGUCGCCUUUGGUCCACACUGUCACGUCUGAUAUAAACAUGUCUUUGUCUGGCUGCAGGCUGGCUGAGUAAGACUACACAAAAGAAAAACAGGAACUGAAUCAGAGAAUAUUGCAGUAGUGGUAAGUAUUUUCUUUCUUUUUUUAAACCAUUUUGUAAUCUAUCAAAAUAGUAGAUUUAUUAGUUAUAGCUCUGAACUGUUUUAUUGAAAUCAUUCCA
Molecule: long non-coding RNA, 880 nt
Organism: Scophthalmus maximus (turbot)
Lineage: Eukaryota; Metazoa; Chordata; Actinopteri; Pleuronectiformes; Scophthalmidae
Exons: 3
Source: RefSeq, a predicted model, not a curated record